GCGUCGUUAGCGCAAUAGGCAGCGCGUCAGUCUCAUAAUCAAAUCUAGAAGGUGUUGAGUUCGAUCCUCACACGGGGCA
This 79-nucleotide transfer RNA is filed under the name Nematostella vectensis (starlet sea anemone). It matches the Rfam family "tRNA". Rfam says of the family: Transfer RNA (tRNA) molecules are approximately 80 nucleotides in length. The record is from Rfam by way of RNAcentral. Lineage: Eukaryota; Metazoa; Cnidaria; Anthozoa; Actiniaria; Edwardsiidae.